UACGUAGGGUGCGAGCGUUAAUCGGAAUUACUGGGCGUAAAGCGUGCGCAGGCGGUUUUGUAAGCCAGAUGUGAAAUCCCCGGGCUUAACCUGGGAAUGGCAUUUGGGACUGCAAGGCUUGAGUGCGGCAGAGGAGACUGGAAUUCCUGGUGUAGCAGUGAAAUGCGUAGAGAUCCGGAAGAACACCGGUGGCGAAGGCGGCCUGCUGGGCAGUGGCUGACACUGAGGCGCGACAGCGUGGGGAGCAAACAGG
RNAcentral lists this ribosomal RNA (253 nucleotides) under uncultured bacterium. RNAcentral describes it as "partial 16S ribosomal RNA". It matches the Rfam family "Bacterial small subunit ribosomal RNA", at positions 524 to 776 of the family's 1533-position model. The record is from RNAcentral.